This 412-nucleotide non-coding RNA is filed under the name Oryza sativa Japonica Group (Japanese rice). The record is from RNAcentral. Lineage: Eukaryota; Viridiplantae; Streptophyta; Magnoliopsida; Poales; Poaceae.
AUAGAUACAAGGUAGUAUUAGGAGAUGAGAGAGAGAUAGAAAUAGAUAGUAUUAUUUAUUCCAUAUGGGUAGUCCAUAUGCUUAUGGAUACCUUUUGUUAUUUUCUUCAUAUGGACUAGUUGCACAAUGGUAAUAGGUAGCUGAAUGGAAUAUAAUAUUGCCUAUGGACUACUUUUGCUUUACAUUGUGGAUGCCCUAACCUGAAACAGAGGAAGUAGAUGAUAUCCCACGCGUUAAAGUGAAAACUUUUGAAACCAUGUCCACCCGUACACACGUUAUAUAAAAUUAUGCUUCUAGAUCCAAUAUCAAUAAUAUAUACUCCCAUAACAAACAUAUUCCAAAAGUUUUCACUAUAACACGUGGGAAAACAAGUUUGCCCAAAACACGUUAAUUGAAUAUAUGCCAUUAAAAA